AUACCUGGAAACAAAUUUACGGCAGUAAUACACGGGAAAGCAUCGACGACAGUCUUGAAUACUUCCGAGGACCUUUCGUAGCCGAUUGGAAUUGCACGGUUUCGAGCGAAUGCUCCCCAAGGUCGGGGGAGCCACAGCUGCACACUUUUAUCAUUUUCUUUGCGCGGCCGACAAACAACGACAACGAUCGCGAUCAAGAUAAGUCGGCCUGACAUUGUACGAAGUGAAAGGAAGAACAAUAUCCGCGCGCGAGGAUCGAUCCCCUAUGAACAUUUGCAGGGGAUCUUGCAAAAUCCUUUCAUCUGUCCAACGAAAAUGCGAAAACGCAUCGCUUGGAAACGUGGUAAUAGACACAACAAUAAAAAAGAUGUCGUUUCUAAAACAUCGUCACCGGGGCUUCUACGACUUCGAUCGCUGCUAAUUCAAUACGGGGGCAACCGCUUCUCAACGUAAUUUCGAAGCUGGAAUGUUAUUUCGCUCGCAGGUAAAAUCGAUGGGGGCGAACGCGAGCGGCUCGUUGAACCGUGCAGCCUGGAAACGAUUUUGAACGUUUAUCGCGUGCGCACACGGUUUUAAAAACGAACGAUUCCGGCGAAUAUCUCCGAGGGAAACCCGCUCACCGGCCGGUUUAAUAACCGGGCCGCGUAAAAUUCCGGGCGUUGCGCAAUCGCCGCAAAGACGAUAAUAAACCUGACAUAACAUCUCGGGGGUUUCUUGGAAAAUUCGGACAACGCGGAGAACAGAGAGAAGUGUCAAAAUAACUGUGUGCUGACCCGACUCUCUUGGCUGCGCCGCGAAACAUUCGGCCAGUCCGGACAAGUUAUUUUCAGUAUUGAACCGUUCUGAACAACCGGGAACGACCGGUGUGUUUGUGUUCCCGAGUGGUGAUUUCGGAUAGGCCGUGCGAGAACAAUGGAGCGGGCCGAUUUCGAAUUGCUCCGCGGGACCGAUCGGUACGGGGCCCAACAAAAGGGACCUCGACGGGUCACAAAAGACACCCUUGUUGGUCAUAUAACGCUCCUAAUCCCGGCAAAUUAACGGAGCAUGAACGGUCACCCGGCGAGGGUAUUAUUAACACGUUGAAUGCCACGGGGGUCACCGGUGACCGGCACUUAACUUGGCGGUGACGCCAUGGGGGCCACCGGUGACCGGCGCGCCCAAAUUGAUAGAAAUAUAUAUAAUUUCAAACAAAUGUGAAUAUCUAAAAUUUUCUAUUAUUACCGUCGUCGAUUCGAACAGUGACCACUGUCGCAAUUAAUAUGUCAAACAUGGUGUUACACUGUAACAUAUCAAUUGCAGACAAUA
Megalopta genalis is the source of this 1305-nucleotide non-coding RNA. NCBI's taxonomy places the organism in Eukaryota, Metazoa, Arthropoda, Insecta, Hymenoptera, Halictidae. The record is from RefSeq and is a predicted model, not a curated record.